GAGUCCUUAAUGAUCUAAUUUUAAUGAAAUUAUAUGUGUUUCAACCUCAGCGGUUACCGUGUCUUUAAAGAACAGAGAAAUCGCUUUCUGGUGUCACAGAAGGGAUGAACCUACUCUGCAAUCUUGGCACCUUCACACCGCAGAUCAUCAGCCUCGUUAGCUGGGUUUUAGCUGCCAGAUCACUCAUUCCUUCCCUUUCCCAAGGAUGUUUGCAGCCCCCCAGAUGUUAUGAAUGACACUGGAGUUAAAAAUUACUGGAUUUUGCCAGUUUGCUUGCACAGUAAUCAACCCUCAUCUGUGGACUGAAGCUCCCUGUAGGUCCAUUAAGUUCUUCCUUUGUCAGGGAACACACGCAGUGUGUAUGGGGAGGUUGGAGGAGAUGGUGCCUUCACCCUGGAGAAGAAGAGGUGACCCAGCAGCCUUUGUCCACCACAGCAGGAAGGACCAGGUCCUUCUCUAAGGUCCCCUGAGAAAAGACAAGUGACACUUGAAGAAGCUGCAUCAGGGACAAUUUCAACUGUACCUGAGGAUAAAGCUUUUUACCACGAGAGCCGUGCAGCCAUGGAAUGGGAUCUUGUACUGAAGAUAUUCGGAACUCAGUUGGGCAAGGACUGGGCCAAGCAGAGCUGGCAUUGCAGUGAGCUCUACUUUGAACAUGGUUUUGGACUUGGAACCUCUCAAAGUCAUUUCCAACCUCAAUGUUUCAAUGGCUUUCCCCUAGUGAGGGGCUCUGACGUAUGUGGGAUAGUUUAUUGCCUCCUACAGAAGACGUGUAAAAGGGAGAUGGCCCUUGACAAUGAUACAUCUCGCUUGGGCUUCAGCAGCCAAGCAAAUGGUAGGACGAGCUGGUGCAAAAACCUCAGCCUGCCUUCUCUGCACCGGGGCAUGUCGUGUGUGGGACAGUCCUGCACGGAUGGCUUGGUUCAUGUUUUCCAUCAUAAAACAGAUGGGUGUGUGCUGUCCUCCAGCAGCAUGGCAAGAGGUGAGGGAUGCACCCUGGAGGACCAACCUCCUCUUGUCUUCCUUUAUUUUGUGUCACAGCCAAGACAUCAGACACCAACUCAGUGCCGAGCGCUGUUUCUACCCCCCAAAUCCACUUGGGAUUUGUCAGCCAGUGUCACCAAGUCCCUCCGUGGUGCCUGGGGCUGGAUGUGGAGCGGGAGCCUGGCCAAGCAGCUGGGAGGUGGAAUAAAUUGCACCUUAAAGUGAGACCGAGGGGAGGGGAGCUCCUCCUCUGCCCCAAGCUCCUCGGGGUGGUAUCGGAGCCAGGUCGAGCUGCCCUGGUGCUGGGGUGGCCGCGUUUCUUCCCCGGUGCACAGUGUCACAGGGAGGGAAGCUGGACGGCCAACGCCGUCUUUCCCAGAGCGGCCCAGAUUCCCCCUGCACGUAUAGAUACAACUGCGAAAAUUCAGCCCGGCGUUGAGCGUAUUUCCAAUAGAGAGGGGACGUUGCAAGAAGAAGCCUGGCGAAAGGCACUUGGAAGCUGCGCAAGGGUCAGCACCGAGUGGACAGGUACGACUUGGGUGGUUGAGCAUCCUCUUGGAUGUUGGGGAAGCUCCUUGCCUCAUUGUGAGCACUGUUACCUGGAGGUCGUUCCCAUGCCCGGCCAUAAAUUAACUUGGAAAAUCUGUUUCCCCUGUUCAGUCUGAAGGUGAAUGUGUGAAUACUUGUCCAUCUUGAAAAACCCAACUCAAGAUGAACUCUUCCUGAAAAGCAGACACGAGUGAAACAGAUAACACCUGCAUGAUAACACGUGCAGAUUAGCCUCAAAUAUUAUCUCUAAUCACUUGUGUUAGAUUUCACUAUUAAAACAAACAAUAUCCUUAAAAAUGUUAGUAGUGUGACUCAUAUAAAUCUAUUGAUUGGUUCAUAGUGAUUUUUAUUUAACAGGGUUUCAUAACUUAUUUGAAUAAGAGAAUGAGCUUCCAGGUUAUCUGGUUCAGCCUUUAUGAUUGGGAUCAUUAUCAUCAUUCACGUCCCACCCACAGUGGAUACCAACAUCUUCUCCUCCCCAACCCUGCAUGUAGGUGGAGGAAGGUCUCCAUCAGCAUGGUCUGAUGCAUCUCACACCAGGGAGGAAUCCGGGUGCUGUGCAGACAUUGGAGUCUUUCCAAGUACAGAACUUCAAGGAAGAUGUGGGGGCAAUGCCCUCCAGGAGAUGCUUUUCCAAAGGAGGGGCUGAACAUGGCUUCAACGUGAUGAAGGACGUCGUCACCCACCAUGGAUCCUGGCGGGCAGCAGUGCCGAGUGCUGCUGGUGUCAGACACCGAUGGCAUUAAUGCUGCGGGAUACUGCAUGCACAGGGUCAGCCCAACGUUUUAACCUGGAGAGGACCCACCUACAUUGGCAGUUGCAGAGGAACCCUCCUGGAGUUCAGUACAAUCAUGUUCUCCUGGGCCUGGCAGCAAGAGCUCUGGAGAUGGAGCCCCACAGCCCUGCCUUCUCUCCAACCGCUCCUGGAAGCAGCAGAUGCACCUGGCAGGACCUGACUUGACUGCAGUUACAGGGCACCACCCAGGUAACACUCAUGCACCCCACAGGGCCUUUGAAACACGCUGAAGUUAUCUCUGGGGUUUUUUUUCACGCAGUGUGGGCUCUUCUCACCCGUCUGAGUGUGGCUAAUCCAACCCCAGCCAUCCUCAAGCGCUGCCUCCUCCCACUGGACUUCCCAGACAAGGGGUGGUGUGGAGAGGGGGGCUCUUCAACCCAUUAAACAUCUAGAGGUAGGAGUGGCACUGGUCAGGUCCUCAGGUGCUCCUCAAGACCUAGAGAAAUGGAGCAGGUAGAUGAAGCUAGGGAGAAGGUGUCGGCCACAGAGGGCUGUCAGGGCAUGGUCAAGCAGGAUUUGCUGUCACUUGGCAGCCUGUAGUGGGAACACAACCUUGCUGGGGGUCUGAC
Molecule: long non-coding RNA, 2898 nt
Organism: Columba livia (rock pigeon)
Lineage: Eukaryota; Metazoa; Chordata; Aves; Columbiformes; Columbidae
Exons: 3
Source: RefSeq, a predicted model, not a curated record